Molecule: ribosomal RNA, 881 nt
Filed under: uncultured bacterium
Lineage: Bacteria
Description: bacterial SSU rRNA
Rfam family: Bacterial small subunit ribosomal RNA
Source: RNAcentral
CCCAUUGAUUGACGGUGCUUGCACCUGAUUGACCUUUGACGCCAACGAGUGGCGGACGGGUGAGUAACACGUAGCUUACCUGCCCAGAAGCGGGGGACAACAUUUGGAAACAGAUGCUAAUACCGCAUAACAACGUUGUUCGCAUGAACAACGCUUAAAAGAUGGCUUCUCGCUAUCACUUCUGGAUGGACCUGCGGUGCAUUAGCUCGUUGGUGGGGUAACGGCCUACCAAGGCGAUGAUGCAUAGCCGAGUUGAGAGACUGAUCGGCCACAAUGGGACUGAGACACGGCCCAUACUCCUACGGGAGGCAGCAGUAGGGAAUCUUCCACAAUGGGCGCAAGCCUGAUGGAGCAACACCGCGUGAGUGAAGAAGGGUUUCGGCUCGUAAAGCUCUGUUGUUAAAGAAGAACACGUAUGAGAGUAACUGUUCAUACGUUGACGGUAUUUAACCAGAAAGUCACGGCUAACUACGUGCCAGCAGCCGCGGUAAUACGUAGGUGGCAAGCGUUAUCCGGAUUUAUUGGGCGUAAAGAGAGUGCAGGCGGUUUUCUAAGUCUGAUGUGAAAGCCUUCGGCUUAACCGGAGAAGUGCAUCGGAAACUGGAUAACUUGAGUGCAGAAGAGGGUAGUGGAACUCCAUGUGUAGCGGUGGAAUGCGUAGAUAUAUGGAAGAACACCAGUGGCGAAGGCGGCUACCUGGUCUGCAACUGACGCUGAGACUCGAAAGCAUGGGUAGCGAACAGGAUUAGAUACCCUGGUAGUCCAUGCCGUAAACGAUGAGUGCUAGGUGUUGGAGGGUUUCCGCCCUUCAGUGCCGGAGCUAACGCAUUAAGCACUCCGCCUGGGGAGUACGACCGCAAGGUUGAAACUCAAAGGAAUUG